This 636-nucleotide ribosomal RNA is filed under the name uncultured bacterium. RNAcentral describes it as "bacterial SSU rRNA". The stretch from base 1 to 542 matches the Rfam family "Bacterial small subunit ribosomal RNA", at positions 338 to 873 of the family's 1533-position model. The record is from RNAcentral.
CCUACGGGAGGCAGCAGUGGGGAAUUUUGGACAAUGGGCGCAAGCCUGAUCCAGCAAUGCCGCGUGAGUGAAGAAGGCCUUCGGGUUGUAAAGCUCUUUUGUCAGGGAAGAAACGGCUGAGGUUAAUACCUUUGGCUAAUGACGGUACCUGAAGAAUAAGCACCGGCUAACUACGUGCCAGCAGCCGCGGUAAUACGUAGGGUGCAAGCGUUAAUCGGAAUUACUGGGCGUAAAGCGUGCGCAGGCGGUUUUGUAAGUCUGUCGUGAAAGCCCCGGGCUCAACCUGGGAAUUGCGAUGGAGACUGCAAGGCUUGAAUCUGGCAGAGGGGGGUAGAAUUCCACGUGUAGCAGUGAAAUGCGUAGAGAUGUGGAGGAACACCGAUGGCGAAGGCAGCCCCCUGGGUCAAGAUUGACGCUCAUGCACGAAAGCGUGGGGAGCAAACAGGAUUAGAUACCCUGGUAGUCCACGCCCUAAACGAUGUCUACUAGUUGUCGGGUUUUAAUUAACUUGGUAACGCAGCUAACGCGUGAAGUAGACCGCCUGGGGAGGUACGGUCGCGAAGUAAGUUAAACGUUAAAGGUUAAAGUUAGUUACGGUUCGUGAGACGUUGCGACGGACGACGACGAGGGAGGAGG